GAUGAACGCUAGCGGGAGGCUUAACACAUGCAAGUCGAGGGGCAGCAUAGGGUAGCAAUACUCUGAUGGCGACCGGCAAACGGGUGAGGUAACGCGUAUGCAACCUACCCUGUACCAGGGGGAUAACCCGGAGAAAUUCGGACUAAUAUCCCGUAAUAAUAUCCGGAGGCAUCUUUGGAUAUUUAAAGUUCCGACGGUACGGGAUGGGCAUGCGUAACAUUAACUGGUUGGUAAGGUAACGGCUUACCAAGGCUAUGAUGUUUAGGGGUCCUGAGAGGGUGGUCCCCCACACUGGUACUGAGACACGGACCAGACUCCUACGGGAGGCAGCAGUGAGGGAAUUAGUUGGUCAAUGGGCGCAAGCCUGAACCAGCCAUCCCGCGUGCAGGAAGACGGCCCUAUGGGUUGUAAACUGCUUUUCCGAGGGAGAGAAACUUACGCACGUGUUGCGUGACUGACGGUACCCUGGGAAUAAGCAUCGGCUAACUCCGUG
This 493-nucleotide ribosomal RNA is filed under the name uncultured bacterium. RNAcentral's name for it is "bacterial SSU rRNA". It matches the Rfam family "Bacterial small subunit ribosomal RNA", at positions 28 to 507 of the family's 1533-position model. The record is from RNAcentral.